AUGCAGACUGCCAUGAACCUGGGGGUCCGGCCAAGCCAUCCCAUUUUAGGGCUUCCCGCGUUCGAGAAAUCGUCUCGCAGCACUUGUCUUUACCUUCACUGGGGCGCCGUAGGGCUCGGAGAGGGCGCUGCGGGAGUGGGGAAGGCACCGUGCCUCGGCUCCCCCCGCACGCCCGGCCCGCGAGCGCCGCGAGCGCCGGGUCUGGGGUGUCCGCGCUGUCCCGGCCCCGCAGCCCCUCGGGCCCCGACCCUCCGCGGCCAGCCCGAGCCAAGCCCCCCAGACUGGCUUUCCCCCGGGGGAGCCCCGCUCCGCAACGCUCUGCCCAACAGGUCUGGCGACCCACGUAUCAGGAAGGGGCUUCCAAGGAAAGAAUCCCGGGGGGUGGGGGGGGGGCGCUGGAGGGACUGUUUCGUACUAAACAUCGAAGAGCGACAAUAUACCUGUGGGUGCGAGGAGCGCGCGGCGGCCACUCCGUGGUUUCCAGCGGUCCCGGCGGCGGGAAGCCCAGGCGCGCGGGGGCCUCGGGCGGCUCCGUCCCGCGCUGCUCGGGGCCCGCGGCCCGCCUCGGCCCUUUAUAGCGCGGCGCGCGGGUGGGCACCGGGGCCCGGGCCGGGGGUGCAGGGAGAAGGGCGGAGGGAGGGGAGGGGAGGGGAGGGGAGGGGAGGGGAGGGGAGGGGAGGGGAGGGGGGGGGCGGGGCGGGGCGGGGGGCGCGGGCCCGGCGGCCGGCCCUAGGUCUGCGGAUUUUUCUCUGUUCGCUGGAAAUUCCCGAGCCCGAAAGAUAAAAGCAGGAUGUCGUAAAUAUAUUCUUACAAGAAAAUUCUAAUCAAGGAUACUGGCCUUUUUGAGCACUUCAGAAAAGGUGAAUCUCAAGAGAAACUCCUGAGACACAGCAAUUUUCAGCGUGCUACAGGAGCCACCAACCAUAAGCCUCAGGAGUUCAUCCCACUCAAGAUGGACCUACUGUGCUCUUCAUACAGAUAAGCUCAAUCUCCUUGACCAGAUAAGCUGCAAACACUC
This 1018-nucleotide long non-coding RNA is filed under the name Canis lupus familiaris (dog). RNAcentral's name for it is "lncRNA (ENSCAFG00030017358.1)". Lineage: Eukaryota; Metazoa; Chordata; Mammalia; Carnivora; Canidae. The record is from RNAcentral.